RNAcentral lists this transfer RNA (77 nucleotides) under Firmicutes bacterium CAG:24053_14. RNAcentral describes it as "tRNA-Arg". It matches the Rfam family "tRNA". Rfam says of the family: Transfer RNA (tRNA) molecules are approximately 80 nucleotides in length. Their secondary structure includes four short double-helical elements and three loops (D, anti-codon, and T loops). Further hydrogen bonds mediate the characteristic L-shaped molecular structure. tRNAs have two regions of fundamental functional importance: the anti-codon, which is responsible for specific mRNA codon recognition, and the 3' end, to which the tRNAs corresponding amino acid is attached (by aminoacyl-tRNA synthetases). tRNAs cope with the degeneracy of the genetic code in two manners: having more than one tRNA (with a specific anti-codon) for a particular amino acid; and 'wobble' base-pairing, i.e. permitting non-standard base-pairing at the 3rd anti-codon position. RNAcentral also lists the same sequence under 1 other name. The record is from RNAcentral. Lineage: Bacteria; Bacillati; Bacillota.
GCCCCCGUACCUCAGAUGGAUAGAGGGUCCGCCUCCUAAGCGGAACGCCAGCAGUUCGAGCCUGCUCGGGGGUGCCA